RNAcentral lists this long non-coding RNA (1157 nucleotides) under Homo sapiens (human). Its description in RNAcentral is "HSALNT0277930". The record is from RNAcentral. Lineage: Eukaryota; Metazoa; Chordata; Mammalia; Primates; Hominidae.
UGCCGAUAUCACACCAUUGCACUCCAGCCUGGCAACAAGAGCAAAACUUCAUCUCAAAAACAAAACAAAAACAAAAAAACAAGUAGAAGGUGACAAAGCUGGCAGGGGAGAAGGGAGUCCUCUCCUUGGCCAGCUGUCUCAUGCAAGGGAGUCCCCGUCCGGGGACAGGUGCUCUGGGGAACCUGGAGGAGGUUUCUUUUUGUGAAGUCUCUGUCACUGUGUGUGGGUGCGUGUGUGUAUGUGUUUUGUGCAUGUGUUGUGUGUGUAUGUGUUGUGUGUGUUGUGUGUAUGUGUGUCUUGUGUGUGUUAGUGUGUUGUGUGUGUCUAGGCCAGGGAAACAGUGAGUCGUUUCUGCCCAGGAGCAGCUGCAUGUGAGGCCCCUUCUUGGUCUUAUACGUGGCUUCUGAGGACUUUCCAGAAAUUGUGAGGUGGGAGCCGCCACUGUAAUCAGGCACAUAAAUAACACAUCCCAGAGUUGGGAACCAGCGCAGAAGGCCCAGGACAGACGCCAAGCUGAAGCCACAGCCCUGACACCUGCCGCCCUAGCCCUGGGCUCCGUCUCUGCCUCUGGAGCUUCCUGUCCCCGGGACUCAGCUCCCCUCCCCUCUGUGGCUGGGCUCUGCCUCCUGGGCUGCUCCUCUCCCCAGCCCUCUCUCUGGGCCCAGCCUAGACACCUGCCCCCUCCCUGGGCUCCUUCCCCCGACUGGGUCUGUCCUGGGUCUCAGCCAUGGCCUCCCCUGGGCUCCCUCUCUAGGGGGGUGGAAUCAGGAAGGGGUGGACACAGGGCGGCUCCCGAGGGCCCCUGACUGCACGUUUGUGGUUCCUUUCCAACAGGGAGACUGGCUGCUGACUGUCCUCUUACUGCUGGGCCUGUCCCUUCCAAUCAGCGCCCGGGGCUCUGAGCACAUUGCUUUGCUGGUGUCUGUGAGCAGCUGGAGAUGGUGGUGAACGGUCUGUUUGCAUUUCUUGGAAGAAGAUCUUUUAUUCUGCUGCUCAACCCAGGUCUCUGCCUUCCUUAGAGACUGAGGCCCAUCCUUCAGUUUCCCUGAUUCUGGAAGAGCAGGGGGGUUGAAUGGAGCAGGAGGUCAUGAUGGAGACUUGGGCCCCAGCAUCCCGCAGCAUUUGCAGCGCCUCCUUAUAUAGGGGGUCGUAAUCAU